This is an unclassified non-coding RNA of Otolemur garnettii (small-eared galago), 102 nucleotides long. It matches the Rfam family "Y RNA". Rfam says of the family: Y RNAs are components of the Ro ribonucleoprotein particle (Ro RNP), in association with Ro60 and La proteins. The Y RNAs and Ro60 and La proteins are well conserved, but the function of the Ro RNP is not known. The record is from Ensembl. Lineage: Eukaryota; Metazoa; Chordata; Mammalia; Primates; Galagidae.
GGCCGGUCUGAGUGCAGUGGUGUUUAGAACUAAUUGAUCACAGCAAGUUACAGAUUUCUUUGUUCCUUCUCCACUCCCACCGCUUCACGUGACUGGCUUUAA